GGCCUAAUGGUCUAGUAGUAUGAUACGCGCUUCGGGUAUUUUCCCGCUUCCUCAGGAAGCAAAGAUGUGCGUGGUCCCGGGUUCAAUUCCCGGUUGGGCCC
This 101-nucleotide transfer RNA is filed under the name Pholiota conissans. RNAcentral's name for it is "tRNA-Pro". It matches the Rfam family "tRNA". Rfam says of the family: Transfer RNA (tRNA) molecules are approximately 80 nucleotides in length. Their secondary structure includes four short double-helical elements and three loops (D, anti-codon, and T loops). Further hydrogen bonds mediate the characteristic L-shaped molecular structure. tRNAs have two regions of fundamental functional importance: the anti-codon, which is responsible for specific mRNA codon recognition, and the 3' end, to which the tRNAs corresponding amino acid is attached (by aminoacyl-tRNA synthetases). tRNAs cope with the degeneracy of the genetic code in two manners: having more than one tRNA (with a specific anti-codon) for a particular amino acid; and 'wobble' base-pairing, i.e. permitting non-standard base-pairing at the 3rd anti-codon position. Lineage: Eukaryota; Fungi; Basidiomycota; Agaricomycetes; Agaricales; Strophariaceae. The record is from RNAcentral.